This 222-nucleotide unclassified non-coding RNA is filed under the name Hevea brasiliensis (rubber tree). Lineage: Eukaryota; Viridiplantae; Streptophyta; Magnoliopsida; Malpighiales; Euphorbiaceae. The record is from RNAcentral.
ACAUAUAUUAAAGGCAUUCUUUGGUUGAUCCUGCUGUAGCUCCUUGCAAUACGAUUGACAGUUUCGGGAACAUAUUCGAGUACCAGAUUUAGGUAGAGCUCUUCCUUUUCAGUUGUUGAAAAGAAACAAUUCUUAAGGGAAACAAUAUUUGGAUGAUCCAACAUCUGCAUAAUCUGUAACUCUCUAUUCUUGUAGCGCUUGUCUUGGAGAACUUUCUUGAUA